UACGUAGGGGGCAAGCGUUGUCCGGAUUUAUUGGGCGUAAAGAGCGUGUAGGCGGCCAGACAGGUCCGUUGUGAAAACUCAAGGCUCAACCUCGAGAUGUCGAUGGAAACCGUCUGGCUAGAGUCCGGAAGAGGAGUGUGGAAUUCCUGGUGUAGCGGUGAAAUGCGCAGAUAUCAGGAAGAACACCUAUGGCGAAGGCAGCACUCUGGGACGGUACUGACGCUGAGACGCGAAAGCGUGGGGAGCGAACAGG
Molecule: ribosomal RNA, 253 nt
Filed under: uncultured bacterium
Lineage: Bacteria
Description: partial 16S ribosomal RNA
Rfam family: Bacterial small subunit ribosomal RNA
Source: RNAcentral